This 439-nucleotide ribosomal RNA is filed under the name uncultured bacterium. RNAcentral describes it as "bacterial SSU rRNA". It matches the Rfam family "Bacterial small subunit ribosomal RNA", at positions 340 to 773 of the family's 1533-position model. The record is from RNAcentral.
UACGGGAGGCAGCAGUGGGGAAUAUUGCACAAUGGGCGCAAGCCUGAUGCAGCCAUGCCGCGUGUAUGAAGAAGGCCUUCGGGUUGUAAAGUACCUUCAGUCGUGAGGAAGGUGUUAAGGUUAAUAACCUUAGCAAUUGACGUUAGCGACAGAAGAAGCACCGGCUAACUCCGUGCCAGCAGCCGCGGUAAUACGGAGGGUGCGAGCGUUAAUCGGAAUUACUGGGCGUAAAGGGCACGCAGGCGGUUAAUUAAGUUGGAUGUGAAAUCCCCGGGCUUAACCUGGGAAUGGCAUUCAAGACUGGUUAGCUAGAGUCUUGUAGAGGGGGUAGAAUUCCAUGUGUAGCGGUGAAAUGCGUAGAGAUGUGGAGGAAUACCGGUGGCGAAGGCGGCCCCUGGACAAAGACUGACGCUCAUGUGCGAAAGCGUGGGGAGCAAAC